Long non-coding RNA from Raphanus sativus (radish), 1282 nucleotides. RefSeq lists it as uncharacterized. NCBI's taxonomy places the organism in Eukaryota, Viridiplantae, Streptophyta, Magnoliopsida, Brassicales, Brassicaceae. The record is from RefSeq and is a predicted model, not a curated record. The transcript is spliced from 6 exons.
UUCAGUUGGGCUUCGUCUCGCGCUAUGGUUUUGUGGCCCAGAGACCAGGCCUUUGUGGUGAUAAGCACCUUCGUGUUCUUCGUUUCUCUCCUCCGCGUGCGACGGCGAUGAGGUGACCUUUCCGCUUCUUUUCACUUCUGAAACGCAUACUUAAAGGAGACGACUUUGAGCAAAUCUCAGAAACGGAAAAUUAAAAAAAACUUGAGGAAGACAAGGAGAAGGAGCUCCUCUCUGCGAAAACUUCUAAGUUGUUAGACAAGUUUAAAAUAUCUGAGGAUGUGUCUUCGCUUUAAUCUUCAAAAGCCAUCAGUAGAUCUGAUACGAAGUUGGAGAAAUGCAGGAGACUAAUGCAACUAUCUAAAGCUGGUGUUUUGUCUGAUGAACCAGUCAACGAUGAAACGGUCGUAUACAUGAGCUAUCGUUCCGUUUCGAUCAUCCAAUAUACACACUGCAUCUACAUUUGAUAGAGUGUUCAGCCUUGCAAGCUGUAAUAAGGAGGUGUAUGAUCGAUCAAGGGGCGAAUUAAGUUUCUCUCUUUGUUGUUAGUGGGGUUCACUGUAAUGCAUGUUGCUGAAGUGAUAGAGCUGAAGAAGGUUUAGUAGUUAAGGUACAAAUUUCAUUUCAUAAACACUGUGCUUGCAUUUGCUGAUGGAAAGCUUUAUUUUCUUUUAGUUAUUUUAAUCUGAUGGAUGGAGUUCACUUUUGGUUUUAAACAUGUUUAUGACAUCACAUGAACACUUUUUCGAUCAAACCUUGAGAAAGAUCCACAAAAGAAGGUAAAAUGGCUCAGACAUGCAGGUAUAUACCUACUGUCGAGUGUCUCUUUAGGAAGAUGCAGCAGAAUCCAUACUUGCAGAAGGAUGUGGAUCCUCUACGGCAUGGUGGUGAGUGCACAUGAAGUAGCUUAAGCAGUGAUAUCGGCCAUUGUGGUAUCUGAAGGUUAGAAUGCUGCAAAUUUACCAUUGUGGCAUAUGGACAGAGAGAUAUCGAAGUGAUUCGGACAAGGAACAAAUACCACCCAUCACUCGGGACUGCAAGGCGAUACAUCCAGUUUUACAAAGCGACUGAUCUUAUUAAAUACACGAGAGUUUGGAUUCGGAAAAUAAUCAACCAUUUUUCCUUUUACAACUUUACAUCCCGUUCUCCAAGAUGUUACCAAUAACUAAAUAAUUAAGAUCCUCAUUACAUAAACAGAGACUGGACCAGAAAUAUUGUUUUUUUGUUCACUGAAUAUAAAUAAUAAACAAAUUCCAAUACAAAUUGGAACCAAGACGUUGCCAUA